AACAAAUUAAUUGUGACGUCUUUUUUGGCGAAAAAGUCAUGUCAAUAGGCAAAAUGGUGGCGGAAAACAAUAAAGGUUCCAUCAUGAAAUCAAAAGGUAAAAUUGACAAAAUAAAAAUGUAUAGAGAAAGGAAAAAACAACAAAAAAGUGAGAGAAAUAAAUUAUACUACGAAAUGAAACAAAAUGAGAGAAUAAAAGAAUACAAAAAUUCCAUAGCUGCUGUAAAAAGGACUUUUAUCUAAUGAAGGCAGGAUCAUGUCAAGAAAACUGAAAAGUUCGGAAACUGACGAUUGGCAGGGUCAGUACCCAGAAGGAACUACCGUUAUUCGUGGAUUAUAUUACAGAAAAACAGGACCUUUAUCGUACAGUUUAAUUAAACGUAAAAAUGUAAUUGUGAGUGUCAAAUCUGUCUUAUAUGUAACAAAUGAUAUUUUGACGGACUCCGUAAUUGAUUUGUCCUUGGCCAUUCACGAAGAAAUAAUUGGACUGGCAGAGCAAAGCAGUUUAUAACAGACUAUUCGGAAUAAAAUUGAACGA
Long non-coding RNA from Mytilus trossulus (common blue mussel), 537 nucleotides. RefSeq lists it as uncharacterized. The transcript has 2 exons. The record is from RefSeq and is a predicted model, not a curated record. NCBI's taxonomy places the organism in Eukaryota, Metazoa, Mollusca, Bivalvia, Mytilida, Mytilidae.